RNAcentral lists this ribosomal RNA (460 nucleotides) under uncultured bacterium. RNAcentral's name for it is "partial 16S ribosomal RNA". It matches the Rfam family "Bacterial small subunit ribosomal RNA", at positions 338 to 795 of the family's 1533-position model. The record is from RNAcentral.
CCUACGGGAGGCAGCAGUGAGGAAUAUUGGUCAAUGGGCGCUAGCCUGAACCAGCCAAGUAGCGUGAAGGAUGACUGCCCUAUGGGUUGUAAACUUCUUUUAUAUGGGAAUAAAGUGCAGUAUGUAUACUGCUUUGCAUGUACCUUAUGAAUAAGGAUCGGCUAACUCCGUGCCAGCAGCCGCGGUAAUACGGAGGAUCCGAGCGUUAUCCGGAUUUAUUGGGUUUAAAGGGAGCGUAGGCGGGUGGUUAAGUCAGUUGUGAAAGUUUGCGGCUCAACCGUAAAAUUGCAGUUGAUACUGGCAGCCUUGAGUACAGUAGAGGUAGGCGGAAUGCGUGGUGUAGCGGUGAAAUGCUUAGAUAUCACGAAGAACUCCGAUUGCGAAGGCAGCCUGCUGGACUGUAACUGACGCUGAUGCUCGAAAGUGUGGGUAUCAAACAGGAUUAGAUACCCCUGUAGUC